Molecule: long non-coding RNA, 293 nt
Filed under: Citrus x clementina
Lineage: Eukaryota; Viridiplantae; Streptophyta; Magnoliopsida; Sapindales; Rutaceae
Description: Citrus clementina (C. clementina) long non-coding RNA (CCLE_LNC003564)
Source: RNAcentral
AUUUUUGCGGAUCCGGAUAUCUAGAAUAUCCGCCCACAUCCGUUGCGGAUAUUACCCGCAUCCAGAUCCGUAUUUUUUUUUACGGAUCCAUAUGUGGAUCCGAAUUUUGCCAACCCUAAUCACAGUCAAGAUUCCUGACAUUAUUCUAAACUAAAACCAUCAAUAAUAUGAAUUACUCAAAACUAAUCAUAAUGAUACCAAGAUUUCAAGUAUAUAAAGGCCUUACAAUAGGCAUCUAUGAUUGACAAUAAUAAUGAGUUGUAUAAGCCAAUUUCUCCAAAGGAGUCAUCUAA